UGGAGCCUCCCAUCGUCGACGGUGCUACUAAAGUUUAGUAGCUUCCAUGCACAGAUGUGCAUAGAUGUAGGUUCGACAUCGAGCACAGGUUCACAGGUUCGGGGUUAUCGAGUUUGGGACUAUAGGAUUUGGGUUUAGGGCACUCUUUGGGUAUUAACGGGUUCAGAUCCGUGGAUUCAGGCAUAUGGAUUUGGGUUAUCGGGUUGUUGGAGUAUCGGGUCAUCGGGUUAUUGAAUAGUGGGUUAUUGGGUUGUGGGUUAUUUGGUUGUUGGGUUUUGGGUUGCGAGUUAUUGGUUGUGGAAGUUGGUUUAGCUAUUCCACGAUUGGGGUUAGGGUUCGAUUUUGAGUUAGGGUUAGGAUGAGUAAUUAGGUUAGGUCAAUUGCGAAUGGGUUUGUGUCUGAUUAAGGUUGGGAUGGCUGCUUGGCUUAGGAUCAGGGCUAGGGUCAGGGUUAGAUUAGGGUGCGAAAGUGAGGACGGUGGUGGAG
This 486-nucleotide long non-coding RNA is filed under the name Elaeis guineensis (African oil palm). RNAcentral describes it as "long non-coding RNA (EGUI_LNC060794)". Lineage: Eukaryota; Viridiplantae; Streptophyta; Magnoliopsida; Arecales; Arecaceae. The record is from RNAcentral.